RNAcentral lists this small RNA (117 nucleotides) under Klebsiella quasipneumoniae. RNAcentral describes it as "MicC RNA". Lineage: Bacteria; Pseudomonadati; Pseudomonadota; Gammaproteobacteria; Enterobacterales; Enterobacteriaceae. The record is from RNAcentral.
CGUUAUAUGCCUUUAUUGUCAUGCCAAGCAUUUUUAUUUGCCGUCUCAUUCUGCGGAAUGAUUUUGUUAUCGGUAAAACGACAAGCCCGAACUUCAUGUUCGGGCUUUUUUUAUGGC